CAAGGUCUCCGUUGGUGAACCAGCGGAGGGAUCAUUACUGAGUUUACGCUCUAUAACCCUUUGUGAACAUACCUAUAACUGUUGCUUCGGCGGGCAGGGUCUCCGUGACCCUCCCGGCCUCCCGCCCCCGGGCGGGUCGGCGCCCGCCGGAGGAUAACCAAACUCUGAUUUAACGACGUUUCUUCUGAGUGGUACAAGCAAAUAAUCAAAACUUUUAACAACGGAUCUCUUGGUUCUGGCAUCGAUGAAGAACGCAGCGAAAUGCGAUAAGUAAUGUGAAUUGCAGAAUUCAGUGAAUCAUCGAAUCUUUGAACGCACAUUGCGCCCGCCAGCAUUCUGGCGGGCAUGCCUGUUCGAGCGUCAUUUCAACCCUCAAGCUCUGCUUGGUGUUGGGGCCCUACAGCUGAUGUAGGCCCUCAAAGGUAGUGGCGGACCCUCCCGGAGCCUCCUUUGCGUAGUAACUUUACGUCUCGCACUGGGAUCCGGAGGGACUCUUGCCGUAAAACCCCCCAAUUUUCCAAAGGUUGACCUCGGAUCAGG
Molecule: ribosomal RNA, 540 nt
Filed under: Colletotrichum gloeosporioides
Lineage: Eukaryota; Fungi; Ascomycota; Sordariomycetes; Glomerellales; Glomerellaceae
Description: eukaryotic LSU rRNA
Rfam family: 5.8S ribosomal RNA (bases 210-363)
Source: RNAcentral